Molecule: small nucleolar RNA, 86 nt
Organism: Cercocebus atys (sooty mangabey)
Lineage: Eukaryota; Metazoa; Chordata; Mammalia; Primates; Cercopithecidae
Source: Ensembl
UGUCAAAAAUUCCCCAAUCCUAUUUCUGACACCUCAUAUGAAAGCUGCACAUGCAGUCUUAUUAUUAUUUUGCAAGCCUGGGGCUU